CGAAGUCCCCGGCGGACGGUGCGCACCCGCCUUCAAGGGGCGGGCGCGCUCCGCCCGGGUCACCCGGAGGGCUUCGU
RNAcentral lists this transfer RNA (77 nucleotides) under Streptomyces griseomycini. RNAcentral's name for it is "tRNA-Leu(caa)". Lineage: Bacteria; Bacillati; Actinomycetota; Actinomycetes; Kitasatosporales; Streptomycetaceae. The record is from RNAcentral.